AGGCGGCGGGAGGAAGUGAAGGGAAGGAGAAGGGAAAAGAAAGAAAGAAAAAAAAAGCCGAUGCCCUCUUUGCCGCCACCGCUUCCCGCCGGUCUCCGUCGGUGCCUUCCUCCCCAUCUUCAUCAGCGUGCGGUCGUCUUCCUCCCCUCCGAUCUCCUCAAGUGCUUUCAUUCCCUCCGUCUUUUUUCUUCGGCCGUGUUUUUUUUUGGUUUUUUGUUUUUUUGUUUUUUUUUUCCUUCUCUCACCUACCCACCGCCGCCGCUCCCAAAACCUUCUGCUACCCCUCCGGUUCCCCCCACCACCGCUCCCCUUCUCUCUCGGCGAAUGCAGAUCCCGAUAGCACCCCUCUCCUCUUUCUAAAAUGCAGAUCCCGAUAGCACCCCUCUCCUCUUUCUAAACCCCGAGGCCGGCCAUGGCGUCCUCCCAAUCCUUCCCCUCCAGCACCCGGCGGCCCUGCCCUGGCUUCAACCCCAACACAAACCCAACCCCUUCGCGGUCGAUGCACUCCAGAACAUCAAGAUCCGCCACCCCUCACCACCCACCGCUGCCUCCAGCGCCACUGUCGCCCCUCCCGUCACCUCCCUCGCUUCCCAGACCUUCUUUAAUCCAGGUAGAAUCUAUUACCUUUCCAUAAAAACUCUUUUUUUAUCUAUUUUUUGCACUUCUUUUCUGCGUUCCUUCUCUCCAUCGCUACUCUCUCUUCCCACUCUUCUAACGGUGGGAAAAUCAGUGCUUUGAGGCCGCGAGGUAAGCAGAGGUAUAAAGAUGGGUUAUUGCGCUUCGGUUCAGAAGAAUCCGGACUCCACCAUGGGAUUUCGACUGGGUUUAGGCUCCCAGGUUAAGAGAUUCUUCAUUCCCUCCCCUGCCAAAGAGAAGCCUUUGAAUGGUCAGAGCUUAGUUGGUGGAUUCGAUUUCAAGGGCAAGGUGGUGGAUCGGGAGCAGGUCUUAGAAGCCCAGACUUUGUUUGCUCGAAAAGAAACUCAGAGAAUUGAGCCACGAAAGAUAAGUUAUAUAUCUUUUACUUUUUUGUUAGUUUGUGGAUCAUUCAUUAUAUUUUGUAUUUUUUAUUAGUUUAAUGAAAUAAUGUCGGUGCAAAUAUGACAGCUUCUAGAUUCUGAGAGGGACAUUCAAUGCAGCAUAACGAAGUUGAAAUUUAAUAUAUGAACUUGAGGUUCGAUACAAUACAACAAAGUUAUCGGCUGCAUUUAGCAGUUUUUUGAAUGAUAUAAAGAAUUGAGAAUGGUGGUGUUUUGAGCAUUCGGUAGGCAAGGAAUCAAGAAAAUGUGAGUGCUAAAUUUUCUUUUGAUCAGAAACUUAUGAAAAUGAUGAAUUGAUUUUUUUUUCUCUUUUUUCUCCAUUUUUUAUUCACUAUCUUGCUGCAUCAAUAUUUUCUAAAGAUUAGAUAAGGCUGUAAAUCUUUUCUCAAAUGAUGGUUUCUGUGGGAUUGUAAGGUUGUGAUCUUGCAAACAGCAAUCUCCUACGAACUUGAUGAGAAAACUCAUCAAACAUAAAAUUUUUCAAAUAUUUUUCAGCAUAAUCCUUCGAAUCCACUUAAGCUUUCAUAUUCAUUAAACAAUUCAUCAAUGAAAUUGGAAGGCUGCUACAAAUGCAGUAGCAAUUCUUUCAAAACUCUCUUAGGUGAUGUUUUUAGACUACAAAAUUGAUGAGAAGCUCUCUCAAACACAUUCUUUCCUGCUUUCCUCACUACUAUCUCCUAUGGAUCUUCAUCGUUGAAAAAGAGAAAAAAUUUGAACAGCCUAUAUAGGAAAAGGUUUGGUCUUUUAAAUUUUCUACCUUUUCUUUGUUUUCAUUGAUUUUUUUUAUUUUUUUUUAAUUUUUGUUGUACUUUUUUUGUUCAUGGGAAUGUCAAUCAGGUGGGAGGCUUGAAGUGAUCGAAUAGAAAAAUUUAAAUCCAUCUUAAUUGGAUGGGAGGUUUGGAGCAAAUGAGGAGUCUUAAUCAGAUCGGAGGUUUCGAGUAGCUGAAUAGAGAAUUUUAGAUCCAUCUCAAUCGGGAGCCUUGAUUGGGUGGUGGUUCAAAGCGACUGGAUAGAGAUGUUUAGAUUCAUCUCAAUGAAGUGGGAAUCUUGGAGCAGGCGAGCAUGGGUUAUUUUGCUAGUGCGACAUUACCGGUCGGUGAGCGGCAACAUCACAAGCAACUUCUCGGGGGUCUAGAGCACAAAUUAUUUUCCUUUUUAUUGUGGAAGGCUAGUUGACGAGCACAAGCAUUAGGUCAUUUGAACCAUGCGUUGUAGCUAUAAAACAUACGGGGACAAACAAAAAUCUACCAAAGGACAAAACGUGAGGCGAAUUGCAUCAUACAGUUGCUCAACACAUCACAUUGAGCAUGUGCACGUACAACACCACCAUUAGGUAAGACGUCUUACUCGUCCGGUUGAAGAGUUUGGAUGAGUUUGACUCGGUUGCGAGAUGGACAGGAAAGUCAUGGUUCCGUAAUUGUGCUCCACGGUUUGCCAUGUUGUGCUAACCUACCUAUCAGAUAGGCUUGGCUGCUAAGACUCCGGCAUGUUCGCUUCUGGCAACAAUACAAUAACAAUUACAAUCACAAAUAAUGAAAUACUAAUCCUGCAUCUUGCCCUUGUCCACCCUAGCCUUUGACAUCCAGAUCUAGAUUGGACAGCAAAGUAAAGCCCAGAUCACCUAAUGCGGCGGAGGCCCAUCAAUUAUGAGGCUGAACAACGGUCUACUGGCCAAUCUAGUGGCGCACUCUCGUCUAGUUGUAACUUUUUAAGUGUGAACAAAAAAUCUUGCAUGGUCUUCAGCCAAUAUCAAUUCGUAGUCCUGGGCAAGGCAAAACAUUGCAUUUGCCAUGCCAUUUAAAUUAUUUAAAACAUCAAAUUAGUGUAGGCAUGAUCACCCGUCAUGCAGAAACCAUGUGUUUGUAAUAGGGAUUGACGUUU
This is an RNA transcript of Elaeis guineensis (African oil palm), 2918 nucleotides long. RefSeq lists it as uncharacterized. Lineage: Eukaryota; Viridiplantae; Streptophyta; Magnoliopsida; Arecales; Arecaceae. The record is from RefSeq and is a predicted model, not a curated record.